This 468-nucleotide ribosomal RNA is filed under the name uncultured bacterium. RNAcentral's name for it is "partial 16S ribosomal RNA". It matches the Rfam family "Bacterial small subunit ribosomal RNA", at positions 28 to 507 of the family's 1533-position model. The record is from RNAcentral.
GACGAACGCUGGCGGCGUGCUUAACACAUGCAAGUCGAACGGAAAGGCCCUGCUUUUGUGGGGUGCUCGAGUGGCGAACGGGUGAGUAACACGUGCGUAACCUGCCCUUGACUUUGGGAUAACUUCAGGAAACUGGGGCUAAUACCGGAUAGGAGGUCCAGCGGCAUGGUGGGGGUUGGAAAGUUUCGGCGGUUGGGGAUGGACUGGCGGCUUAUCAGCUUGUUGGUGGGGUAGUGGCUUACCAAGGCUUUGAAGGGUAGCCGGCCUGAGAGGGUGGCCGGCGCCAUUGGGACUGCGAUACGGCCCAGACUCCUACGGGAGGCAGCAGUGGGGAGUAUUGCACAGUGGGGGGAAGCCUGAUGCAGCAGCGCCGCGUGCGGGAUGAGGGCCUGCGGGUUGUAAACCGCUUUCGCCUGUGACGAAGCGUGAGUGACGGUAAUGUGUAAAGAAGCACCGGCUAACUACGUG